GUGCUCGCUUCGGCAACACAUAUACUAAAAUUGGAAUGAUGCAGAGAUGACUAGCAUGGCCCCAAAGACGGCAAGAAAAACAUCAAUGUCCAUGAUGUUUAA
This 102-nucleotide small nuclear RNA is filed under the name Ochotona princeps (American pika). The record is from RNAcentral. Lineage: Eukaryota; Metazoa; Chordata; Mammalia; Lagomorpha; Ochotonidae.